This 369-nucleotide ribosomal RNA is filed under the name uncultured bacterium. Its description in RNAcentral is "bacterial SSU rRNA". It matches the Rfam family "Bacterial small subunit ribosomal RNA", at positions 525 to 896 of the family's 1533-position model. The record is from RNAcentral.
ACGGAGGGUGCAAGCGUUAUCCGGAUUCACUGGGUUUAAAGGGUGCGUAGGCGGGCAGGUAAGUCCGUGGUGAAAUCUCUGAGCUUAACUCAGAAACUGCCAUGGAUACUAUUUGUCUUGAAUACUGUGGAGGUAAGCGGAAUAUGUCAUGUAGCGGUGAAAUGCUUAGAUAUGACAUGGAACACCAAUUGCGAAGGCAGCUUACUACACAAAUAUUGACGCUGAGGCACGAAAGCGUGGGGAUCAAACAGGAUUAGAUACCCUGGUAGUCCACGCCCUAAACGAUGAUUACUCGACAUCAGCGAUACACUGUUGGUGUCUGAGCGAAAGCAUUAAGUAAUCCACCUGGGAAGUACGUUCGCAAGAAUG